This is a long non-coding RNA of Chiroxiphia lanceolata (lance-tailed manakin), 600 nucleotides long. RefSeq lists it as uncharacterized. Lineage: Eukaryota; Metazoa; Chordata; Aves; Passeriformes; Pipridae. The record is from RefSeq and is a predicted model, not a curated record. The transcript is spliced from 4 exons.
GAGGGCAGAGUGCUGUGCUCCUGCCUGUAUCCAUCUCUGUGCAUCAGCCCAUCUUCAGGCAGGUGCAGUGGAGCUGAAUAAGCCAACAGGUCCUGCCUGUGAAUAGACCUGGGUCCCUACUGCUGGCCAGGCUCAUGGGAGGUAUGACAUAUAAAAAGAGAACAGAUAUAUUUAUUCACCUCCGUUACUUCCCAGAGACUCCAGGCAAAGCUGUCAGCAAAUGCCAAUCAACUGCUAAAUGGAAAUAGUGCCCACUAUGAAAAAAUCUACAGUAAAGUAGGAUUUAGAAGCCUGGACACUGCAAUGUCUAAAAAACUGAUGACCCUUGUGCAAAUGGGCAAGUUAGAACAGGAUCUGGCUGGAGAAGGAGGCUGUGCAGAGAUUGAAUCCUUUGAUCCGACAUCUCCUUCAAAUCUGCUCCAAUGCCUGCUCUAAUAUGGAAGUCAAGAGCACUCUUUUUCUAGAAGUGACGUGGUUUCUGUGCCCUUUGAAGCUCUCCAUCGAAAUUCUGAUGUCAACACGGAACUGCAGAGAGGAGAAUCAUAUUAGACUUUUCUUGGGGCACAGAGUGAAUUGACAUAAAUAUGAGUUAUCUGUUAA